Molecule: ribosomal RNA, 492 nt
Filed under: uncultured bacterium
Lineage: Bacteria
Description: partial 16S ribosomal RNA
Rfam family: Bacterial small subunit ribosomal RNA
Source: RNAcentral
AGUGAACGCUGGCGGUAGGCCUAACACAUGCAAGUCGAACGGCAGCACAGUAAGAGCUUGCUCUUACGGGUGGCGAGUGGCGGACGGGUGAGGAAUACAUCGGAAUCUACUUUUUCGUGGGGGAUAACGUAGGGAAACUUACGCUAAUACCGCAUACGACCUACGGGUGAAAGCAGGGGAUCUUCGGACCUUGCGCGAUUGAAUGAGCCGAUGUCGGAUUUGCUAGUUGGCGGGGUAAAGGCCCACCAAGGCGACGAUCCGUAGCUGGUCUGAGAGGAUGAUCAGCCGCACUGGAACUGAGACACGGUCCAGACUCCUACGGGAGGCAGCAGUGGGGAAUAUUGGACAAUGGGCGCAAGCCUGAUCCAGCCAUACCGCGUGGGUGAAGAAGGCCUUCGGGUUGUAAAGCCCUUUUGUUGGGAAAGAAAAGCAGCAGGUUAAUACCCCGCUGUUCUGACGGUACCCAAAGAAUAAGCACCGGCUAACUUCGUG